AGGGAAAUAAGAUAUAAGAGCAGCUGCUAACUAGCUUUUAAAGCGGUUAAACUCCGUUUUUUCCUUA
RNAcentral lists this transfer RNA (67 nucleotides) under Magicicada tredecim (thirteen-year cicada). RNAcentral's name for it is "tRNA-Ser". Lineage: Eukaryota; Metazoa; Arthropoda; Insecta; Hemiptera; Cicadidae. The record is from RNAcentral.